Molecule: non-coding RNA, 48 nt
Filed under: Schistosoma margrebowiei
Lineage: Eukaryota; Metazoa; Platyhelminthes; Trematoda; Strigeidida; Schistosomatidae
Source: RNAcentral
AUUGAGCUGACGAGUCUAAAAUAGAAGGAAACGCGCGUCAAACUGGAU